GGUUACAACAGCAUAAUGCUCAAAUGAAGUUUAACCCCUGUUAGCAUUCAUGAACUUUUGAAUUUUAAAGAUUUCCGAGUACGUGGGGCUUUAUAGGAGCAGGGUGUGAAACCUACCCGGGGUCCAGGGGGUUUCCGUAGUUGUCAUGCUUCGGCCUUCCCUUGCCAAACUCCAUGCUGGUGAUGAAUGCAGGACCUGAUAUAAAAAAGAAAAAAACAAUUCAAAGAAAAACAGUUUGCAGGUACAGUAAAGCAAGGUGAGGAUCGUGUAUUUGUGUACCUGAGUUUAGUCCACAGUGGCCACCCUUCUGGUCUCUGUACUCCCUGCAGCCGCUUCGUUGCUCCAGACUAGGACAGGGCUCUCCGCUGUUACUGGGCUGCUGCUCUACGUGACGAACACGGACCCGCACUGAAGCCUGACACGACUUGGCACAGCCGCUCCAAAAGCUCCAGUCGCUCACAGUGCAGUCCUGAGCUGGAUGUUGGCGCCCAUGUUGUGGGAGAAGGAAUAUUACAGGAUAUCCUUUUGUGGUAGCAAACAAUCAGAACUGCAGUGAAACUCAUAGAAAUUGGACCCCAGCACCAACACUGAUUGGUUUAGUUUAGUGUGUGCAGAGGUGAGUCACAGCAACAGUAAAAGCUUGCAGCGUUCUUGCCGGCUGCAUAAUUACAAUCUCCCUGUGAAGCCGCGUAAUGGAGGUAAAUAUCCAGGAAAUCACUUUAGAUCAAUGAAGCAUUGAUUGUGACUUGUAGAAUUAGUGUUCCCUGCUCUACUCCGAGUGGUUUGAUAUCAUGCCAAGUGAGCAACCCAUUCAAUCACCAAGUCCUGUGAUUUCUUUCUUUUCAGUCGCUCCCUGUUUUCUCGAUGAUUAAGCUUGGCUGCAUUAAGCGUGCAGAUUUAGUCUCUUAUCGGCCUUUAACGCAUAUUAGGUACGCUCGGCUUGUUUGCCUGGAACUGUAAUUGCUACGACUGAUUGACAGAAUCACAUUCUUCAAAUAUUUUUACUAAUUCCAUUAUGUGGGCCAGUCCGCUGAAAUGAGGUUAGACACAGAGCUGCCUGGGUUAUGUGGUGAACUGAUUGUGGUAGGUUUUUGUGAUGUAGCAGACGUGAUGUGUGCUCCAGAAGAAAAAAAAUAAGAGCUGUCAUUGUUUCUAGUGCACAAGUCAGGAGGUGGAGAUAAAUGUGCUCAAACAACUUCACAUGCACAGCUCUGUGUCAUCAGAUAAGCAGCCCAGGUACUAAAAAAACAAUCUUCUCCAGCUAUGUUUAUCUCCUGUCUGCUAAUCUGUCUUUAGCGAGGGUCAUCUCAUGCGACAGGUUAUCUCCCACUGGUUUCGCAUAGUUAUGUGUGUGUGCACAGAAAACUCCACUUGUGACUCAUUCGCACUGACAGCGAUCCCUUCCUGUCCUCCCUCACCUGGGCAUUCUGUGAAGUAGUCGAAGCAGCAGUCGUUGGUCCUCGCACAGCCCUCGUCGCAGUAGCACGUCCCGUACACACGGUCCAUCCUCCAGUCGGUGGUCAGACAGCUCAAGUCUCUGCCUCGGCAGCAUUUCCCUGAACAACCCCCGGACACCAAGUGGUUCUUUCCCAGAGUGGAGACCACCAACAGCAAACAAGCAAACUCCACAGAGGAUCCCAUCCUGAAGGGGGUCAGGUCAGACCCUUGAAGUUAAAGACUAGCCUCUGAGUUCGUAAGUGAUUAGUCCCUCCCUGGUCCUACUCCACAUCUGUCACACUCAUGACCGUGAGAGGGAGAGGUGGGAAUAACCAGCCCAACCCAGCCAAGACAGGAGCCCUUGUGACCUGGAAUUCCUGCGUCCGUCUCCUGCGUCCAGCCCCUCUUGUUUCCCUCCAGGAACGGGUCUGCAGAGUAACCUACAGCACAGGACGACCCGUUCCAGCGCUGAUCAGACUCCCGUGUCUCUCUUAUUGUGUGUGUGCGUCCUCUCCCUUCAGAGCUGGUGACUCUCUCCUUGUUCCCAGCUGAGCACCUCCCUCCAGUUGAUCGCACACGGGAGGAGACAGUGAGGGCAAGGGAGGGAUUUAGUGUGACCCUGAUGCCAGUCUCGCCCAGCCACUCUGCCACCCCAGACCUCUGAGUCCCAAAAGAAAGGCAGGAAUGCUACUGUAAUCUUCUAAAUAUCCAGACACUUCUUUGUUGUGCUUUGUACCUUCAUGUGAUCAGCUUGCGGAGAGCGGAGGGGGGUCUGUUUGGGUCCUUUGAUUCUUCUUCUCGCCAUAAGCAGGCCCCCAACCCUGGACCUCCUGCCCUCGCUGUGCACCUGUCAAAGACGAUCAGCCUUCCUACAGUAACGCACCCUGCUCCGAGUAGAGAGGAAAGGAGAUUACGCCCAUGGUAGCCGUCUCAAGUUGCCUUGAGAUGGUGAACAGUGUGUGUGUUUACGGCCUUCAAACUCUGUCACCAGCUGCCCUGUCAGAGGCUGAAGUCACACGACGAGUUUAUUUGACGAACACGAAGAGGUAGUGACCGACGCAGAGAGAGAGGUUGUGUAGUGUCUUGAGUUGGGCGUCGAGCAAACGGCAGGGUGAAUCCUCGCUCAAUCUCGCCUACGUGGGGAAUGCAAACUGUGGCUGUCGCCACGGUAACCGCUGACCUGGGUUGCUAUAGUUUCAAAACCUUUUGUUGACAAAUGUUCACCUUUUCAUCUCUCGCCCCACCUGUUGUAAAGGAACGCGGAUGAAGUCACCUCCCAACGCCGUAUCUGUAUGUUACAUACACACACACAGAGGUGUGUGGGCCAUUAAACACAAUAGUACAAUGUAGGACAAAAAGACUCUUUAACUAAUAUGUUGUACAUGGUGGUACAGUGUAUCAUGAACUCAAAAAUAUUUAACCUCAAACAAAUAUUUAACAAAAGAUUAAUAAUAGUUAGUUUGUUUCUUCCUGAUCAGUCCAGUCAGUUUCUGUCCCAUGAAUGGAAGCCUUUGUCCACUAUCAUCUGAAUUCACUCAGCUUCCUCCCUCCAUGUUUACAUCUGUACAUUUGCUGUGUGUGUGUGUGUGUGUGUGUGUGUGUGUAUGACGUUAAGGGAGUGUACGUCUUAGAGAUAGAUAAGUGAGGCUGAGCAGGUUACAAGUUACCUCGAAGAACACAGAGAAUUGUAUGCGGCAGUGCCUGCGCUGUACCGGAGGAGUACAACUUAAAUCAUGACCCUGAGUGAGUCUCUUGCUCUUCCCAUCGCGCUUACAUCAUCUAUUUGACAAACCAUCUAGUGCGUCCCACUAAUGAUGCUCCAUUCAUUAGAGGCAGUUACAGUUUGAUAGAUUUUGGAUGAUAACAUGCUUCUCCACUGCACUGACAUCACUGAUAAUUGUCCCCUCAUCAGUCAGCUACCUCGGCACACAGUCCCAUUUGUGUGUACGUCGAUGCGGACAUUAGGAGUAGGGCUAGGCUAGAUGAGGCAAGACGUGUGGGUGGGGAGAUGAGACUGACCCCGACCUCUGAGAGAGAUGAGACGUCAAGUGAGCGAGGUGCAUCCAUCACUGUGGAGUCGUAAAUCAUAUUGUGAAAUGUCAGAGAGCAGUGGAAAGGUUAUAGGCCCCUAGAUUUCGGCGCGUGUAUACAGAUUUGCGGCACAAUAAGCCCAGUUGCCGUAGAUUUGCCAUCGUUUUUGGCUCUGCUGUGAUGGAAAAAAGACAAAGAUUUGACCUCGGAGUGCCCCUCUUGAAUACACAGACACACAGGUUACUAUGGGACCAGGAGCUGUUGUCACAUGUCGCUUGUUUGCUCUAUCAUUUAUUUCUCAUCACUGUGUAAAACUAUCUUUUAGGAUCUUUUAACAAGGUUCUUUGGAGCCCAGACUGGUUUCACAAUAGAGGAGCCAUCAGUUGGCGGGUUUUAGCCGUUAUAAAGCAGGAAUUUUUAUUGGUUGACUGGAUGUCUUUUAUGUUCAUUUCUUUGUAAAUAGAAGAUGUGAUGCUGUGGGUAUGUGAGAGAUGACUCACCUGAUGAAGACCACACUGCAAUGAGCUUGGCAGUCCCACAUCUGACGAGAGCCCGUGGUCAUCAAAUGACUUGUUUGUCCGAGCAACAGAUAUUGAGCAAACCCCCAGAUAUUCAAUUUACUAAAAUGUAAGAGAAGCAAAAAUUACAAAUUCUGAGAAGAUGAAACCCUAAAAUGUGAACCGCUGCACUCUUCGCCUGGCACUGCCCUGGUUAAGAGUCCUGUGGAACUAUAGUGAAACGAUAAGCCACUUGUGGGCAGGCCCCAGUACAGCGCUUAUUAAAGACCUGUUUGUUCCAGGUCAUUUUGUUUCACUGCACUUGAAAGGGACGGUAAAAACCCUGACCGUUUGAGCGUGAAUGCAACCCCUUCACUUGAAUAAGGGGAUGGCUCUGUGUUUCUAGGUCACUGUGCGUCCCCGAAAUGCACACCUCUCUAUCCGCAGGGAGGGAGGGAGGAACACAAACAGACCUCGACAUUUGACAACAUCACAUUUGCAUUUAAUAGGGAGCUUAGGGGAUACACUUCCUGAAAUGAAACACUGUUAACGGCUGAGUUAGUGUGGCAUAUCGACCAAAACCCUUAAACUUAAGCAUUUUAGUAUUUUUUUUUUUAUUGUGUAGAAUGUCCUAAAACAUGUAAUUGUAUAGAAUAUAAAAAUAUGUCAUAAAACUGUCAUUUUAUAUUCGGACAUAAAAUUCUUACAUUAUUUUAUGACUAUGUGACAACUCCUCCACUCCACUAGGUGUCUGUGCGUCUUUGUUUCGCUGACUCUUCUUUGUCUUGCAGGAUCCGGAUCGUCGACUUGAUGAGCGACUACCUGGGCUCUGUGUUAGUUCUGAUAUGAGAGCUCACCACCCUUCCACGGGCUUUCCUUGCUGGCGCUACUCGCAUUUUUCUUUUGUUUGCUGCAGACAUUUUCAUAAUUCCGUACAUGAUUCUUGACUUUCAGGUUUGUUCUGUUCUCUGCUGUUUUGUGAAUAAAUAUGCUUAUUGAUGACAUUUAAACUUGUCUGGUCUCCCAAUUCCCG
Molecule: long non-coding RNA, 4998 nt
Organism: Anarrhichthys ocellatus (wolf-eel)
Lineage: Eukaryota; Metazoa; Chordata; Actinopteri; Perciformes; Anarhichadidae
Exons: 5
Source: RefSeq, a predicted model, not a curated record